UACGGAGGGGGCGAGCGUUGUUCGGAAUCAUUGGGCGUAAAGGGCGCGUAGGUGGUUCUGUAUGUCUGCCGUGAAAGGGUACAGCUUAACUGUAGCUUGUCGGUAGAAACUGCAGGACUUGAGGCUGGGAGGGGCUGGUGGAAUUCCCUGUGUAGCGGUGAAAUGCGUAGAGAUGGGGGAGAACACUCGUGGCGAAGGCGGCCAGCUAGACCAGUUCUGACACUGAGGCGCGACAGCGUGGGGAGCAAACAGG
RNAcentral lists this ribosomal RNA (253 nucleotides) under uncultured bacterium. RNAcentral's name for it is "partial 16S ribosomal RNA". It matches the Rfam family "Bacterial small subunit ribosomal RNA", at positions 524 to 776 of the family's 1533-position model. The record is from RNAcentral.